UGGGGAAUUUUGGACAAUGGGCGCAAGCCUGAUCCAGCCAUGCCGCGUGAGUGAAGAAGGCCUUCGGGUUGUAAAGCUCUUUCGGUGGGGAAGAAAAGGUACGUGCUAAUACCACGGACUAAUGACGGUACCCGAAGAAGAAGCACCGGCUAACUACGUGCCAGCAGCCGCGGUAAUACGUAGGGUGCAGGCGUUAAUCGGAAUUACUGGGCGUAAAGCGUGCGCAGGCGGUUUGUUAAGACAGAUGUG
Molecule: ribosomal RNA, 249 nt
Filed under: uncultured beta proteobacterium
Lineage: Bacteria; Pseudomonadati; Pseudomonadota; Betaproteobacteria
Description: partial 16S ribosomal RNA
Rfam family: Bacterial small subunit ribosomal RNA
Source: RNAcentral